GACGAACGCUGGCGGCGUGCUUAACACAUGCAAGUCGAACGGAAAGGCCCUGCUUUUGUGGGGUGCUCGAGUGGCGAACGGGUGAGUAACACGUGAGUAACCUGCCCUUUACUUUGGGAUAACUUCAGGAAACUGGUGCUAAUACCGGAUAGGAGCUCCUGCUGCAUGGUGGGGGUUGGAAAGUUUCGGCGGUUGGGGAUGGACUCGCGGCUUAUCAGCUUGUUGGUGGGGUAGUGGCUUACCAAGGCUUUGACGGGUAGCCGGCCUGAGAGGGUGACCGGCCACAUUGGGAUUGAGAUACGGCCCAGACUCCUACGGGAGGCAGCAGUGGGGAAUAUUGCACAAUGGGCGGAAGCCUGAUGCAGCAACGCCGCGUGCGGGAUGACGGCCUUCGGGUUGUAAACCGCUUUCGCCUGUGACGAAGCGUGAGUGACGGUAAUGGGUAAAGAAGCACCGGCUAACUACGUG
This 468-nucleotide ribosomal RNA is filed under the name uncultured bacterium. Its description in RNAcentral is "partial 16S ribosomal RNA". It matches the Rfam family "Bacterial small subunit ribosomal RNA", at positions 28 to 507 of the family's 1533-position model. The record is from RNAcentral.